This 446-nucleotide ribosomal RNA is filed under the name uncultured bacterium. RNAcentral describes it as "bacterial SSU rRNA". It matches the Rfam family "Bacterial small subunit ribosomal RNA", at positions 328 to 793 of the family's 1533-position model. The record is from RNAcentral.
CGCUAUCACUCCUACGGGAGGCAGCAGUGGGAAUCUUGGACAAUGGGCGCAAGCCUGAUCCAGCCAUGCCGCGUGAGUGAUGAAGGCCUUAGGGUCGUAAAGCUCUUUCGCCAGGGAUGAUAAUGACAGUACCUGGUAAAGAAACCCCGGCUAACUCCGUGCCAGCAGCCGCGGUAAUACGGAGGGGUUAGCGUUGUUCGGAAUUACUGGGCGUAAAGCGCGCGUAGGCGGAUUAGUCAGUCAGAGGUGAAAUCCCAGGGCUCAACCCUGGAACUGCCUUUGAUACUGCUAGUCUUGAGUUCGAGAGAGGUGAGUGGAAUUCCGAGUGUAGAGGUGAAAUUCGUAGAUAUUCGGAGGAACACCAGUGGCGAAGGCGGCUCACUGGCUCGAUACUGACGCUGAGGUGCGAAAGUGUGGGGAGCAAACAGGAUUAGAUACCCUGGUAG